Zingiber officinale is the source of this 924-nucleotide long non-coding RNA. RefSeq lists it as uncharacterized. Lineage: Eukaryota; Viridiplantae; Streptophyta; Magnoliopsida; Zingiberales; Zingiberaceae. The transcript has 3 exons. The record is from RefSeq and is a predicted model, not a curated record.
AAAAAAGUUUUUAAUCCACUUGAUCCCCUUUCCCCUUUGCCCUAAUUGUCCUUGGAGGAGGCCGCGCGUGUAGGAGAUUUCGUUGUCAUGAUUUCCGACAAGGUAAGGUCUUCACCUCUCUCUUCCAACUCCGACGAGUCUCCCGACACUCGGCCGACGGCAACUGGCACUGGUCGACCGCGGGAACCUGCGGCUGGCCCUGGCGAGGGAGGAGUCUAAAGCACAAGAGGGAUUGCUCCUGGCGAGGGACAUCCGGUGAUGAUGUUGAGCGGAAGGAAUCAGUUAUGGUAUCAUCGCUAAAAUCAUCGUUGGAGGAAGUGUGUAGCCUAGAAGACUUGAUGGAGAGAAUGGAGCUCUAUUUGAGCAAAAAAGUUGCAAGGAGGCCCUCAUUAGGAUGAGUCAAGUUUGCAAGAGUUUCUAUCAAAAAUAAUGCAUGGGGAAGGAAAUCUUCUAGUACAUCUUCUCACUCUGGGUUACAAAGUGAAUCACCAGCAAGUAAUAUGGUUUCAUGUUCAUCCAAUUUUAUAGCCAUCUUUUGAAAAUGCUUUCAGCUACUUUUUGUUAUGCAGUUCCAUUUUUUGUUUACGCUUCUCAUUUGUGUGCUUUGUAUGUUUAACAAACAUCUCUUUACUAACAGAAUCCAAUUUCAGAAUAUGAGUUUAAUGUGAAAGAUUUAUCUGAAGAAAUUCAGGAUGGUGUAGUGCUUUCUAGGGCUAUUCAACUAUUGCAAAAUGAUGCAUCUAUACUAUAAGAAAAAAAGGAUAUUGGAAGGAGAUAGAGAAAAUUUAGUGAUGUUUGGAUAUUUGUUGAUGUAUGGAUAGUUUAGAACUUCUUAUAUUGUUUGGAUUUUGUGGAUAUUUUGUGAUGUUUGGAUUUGAUGUAUAAAUUGUAAUUUGAUUUAAUGUAUAAUUUUAUUUUGUUAGA